Molecule: long non-coding RNA, 425 nt
Organism: Dreissena polymorpha
Lineage: Eukaryota; Metazoa; Mollusca; Bivalvia; Myida; Dreissenidae
Exons: 3
Source: RefSeq, a predicted model, not a curated record
GCGGGCAGAACGACUGGCGUACGAUGACAGCAAUAUUGAAACCAAGGUUAUUAUUCCAACACCGAAGUCACUCCAGAUAGACCUCCAAAAGCCCAUGACUUCAUUCAACACCAGCUGGAAGGUGUUUGCAGAAGACAACAUCUUUAACGAUACAGCUCUGUACAUAACAGAAAAACUAAAAAUUCAGCAAGUCUUUUCGAAGCCCAGCGCUUACGUCAUAAUACUGAGUCGUAACAAUACCAUUGGACCUGAAGGGUAUACUUUAAGCGUCGAUGAGAACGUCAUUCGUCUUGAAGCAAGUGACGCGGUGGGAAUGUUCUACGCCGUGCAAUCUCUCAGAAGCAUUAUUGACGGAGCGAGCGGUGCAAACAUCCGUGCCAUGACCGUUCACGACGCACCGCGCUACCGCUGGAGGGGAAGGCAUC